GAAAGCUCCAACGUGUUUCACUAUUUUGCCCAUCUUUUAAUUGGAAAAAGUGAAAGAAAAACCCACCAAACAUCCACGCACAACUUCACAGUUGAGAGAGAAAACAAGUGAAGGAUUGAGAACUGCAAUCACUCAUCGUCGACACGGGAAAGCAUGGAACUUUUUCCAGUUGUUUCGUCAUACAAAGGUCGAUUGGCAUCAUAAUUUUUACACUUUGUUGGUGUAUACAAGAUAAUUGAGCUUGUGUGG
Molecule: long non-coding RNA, 249 nt
Organism: Hibiscus syriacus
Lineage: Eukaryota; Viridiplantae; Streptophyta; Magnoliopsida; Malvales; Malvaceae
Exons: 3
Source: RefSeq, a predicted model, not a curated record